GAUGAACGCUGGCGGCGUGCUUAACACAUGCAAGUCGAACGGAAAGGCUCCUGCUUGCCGGGGUACUCGAGUGGCGAGCGGGUGAGUAACACAUGGGUGAUCUGCCCUGCACUUCGGGAUAUGCCUGGGAAACUGGGUCUAAUACCGGAUAGGACGAUGGUUUGGAUGCGGUUGUGGAGAGUUUUUUCGGUGUGGGAUGAGCUCGCGGGCUAUCAGCUUGCUGGUGGGGGAUUGGCAUACCAACGCAUCGACGGGUCGGCGGCCUGGGAGCGAGUACGGCGACAUUGCGCCUGAGGUAGGGCCCAGUCUGCUACGGUCGGCAGUAGUGGGGAAUAUUGCGCAAUGGCGCCAAGUCUGAUGCGGAGGCGCUCGGUUGGUAAAGCCCGCCUUCUGGGUAUAAACACCUUUCGCUAGGGACGAAGCGGUAGUGACGUUACCUGGAGAAGAAGCACCGGCUAACUACGUG
Molecule: ribosomal RNA, 466 nt
Filed under: uncultured bacterium
Lineage: Bacteria
Description: partial 16S ribosomal RNA
Rfam family: Bacterial small subunit ribosomal RNA
Source: RNAcentral